AGUGGAUGGGGAGCAACCUAGUUGUGCGUGUGUAAGGGUAGUGCCAAGAAAAGCGAUGAUCAUGUUGAAAAUCAAUUCCCGGUACCCGAAACCGACACAGGUGGGCAAGUAGAGAAUACUAAGGGGCGCGAGGUAACUCUCUCCAAGGAACUCGGCAAAAUGACCCCGUAACUUAGGGAGAAGGGGUGCCACCGAGAGGUGGUCGCAGUGAAGAGGCCCAGGCGACUGUUUAGCAAAAACAUAGGUCUCUGCAAACUCGAAAGAGGAGGUAUAGGGGCUGACGCCUGCCCAGUGCCGGAAGGUUAAAGAAGUUGGUCAGUUUUAGGAUGAAGCUAGCGACUGAAGCCCCGGUGAACGGCGGCCGUAACUAUAACGGUCCUAAGGUAGCGGAAUUCCUUGUCGGGUAAGUUCCGACCCGCACGAAGGGCGUAACGAUCUGGGCGCUGUCUCGGAGAGAGGCUCGGCGAAAUAGGAUUGUCUGUGAAGAUACGGACUACCUGCAUUUGGACAGAAAGACCCUAUGAAGCUUUACUAUAGCUUGGAAUUGUGUUCGGGCUUCCUGUGCGCAGGAUAGGUGGGAGGCGUAGAAGGUAUUCUUGUGGGGAUACUGGAGCCAACGGUGAGAUACCACUCUCAGGAGGCUAGAAUUCUAACUUAAUUAAGGACAGUUUCAGGUGGGUAGUUUGACUGGGGCGGUCGCCUCCAAAAAGGUAACGGAGGCGUACAAAGGUUCCCUCAGACUGGUUGGAAAUCAGUCGAAGAGUGCAAAGGCAGAAGGGAGCUUGACUGCGAGAAGUACAGUUCGAGCAGGGUGGAAACACGGUCUUAGUGAUCCGACGGUGCUGUGUGGAAGGGCCGUCGCUCAACGGAUAAAAGUUACUCUAGGAUAACAGGCUGAUCUCCCCCAAGAGUUCACAUCGACGGGGAGGUUUGGCACCUCGAUGUCGGCUCAUCGCAACCUGGGGCGGAAGUACGUCCCAAGGGUUGGGCUGUUCGCCCAUUAAAGCGGUACGUGAGCUGGGUUCAGAACGUCGUGAGACAGUUCGGUCCAUAUCCGAUGUAGGCGUGAGAAUAUUGAGAGGAGCCUUCCUUAGUACGAGAGGACCGGGAAGGACGCACCGCUGGUGUACCUGUUAUGAUGCCAAUUGUAAACGCAGGGUAGCCAAGUGCGGAGAGGAUAACCGCUGAAAGCAUCUAAGUGGGAAGCCCACCUCAAGAUGAGUAUUCUGGUGUAAGGUCACGGGAAGACGACCCUAAAUAGGCACGAGGUGGAAGUGCAGAGAUGUAUGAAGCCGAAGUGUACUAAUAGACCGUCGGCUUGACC
Molecule: ribosomal RNA, 1324 nt
Filed under: metagenome
Description: bacterial LSU rRNA
Rfam family: Bacterial large subunit ribosomal RNA
Source: RNAcentral